AUACGGAGGAUGCAAGCGUUAUCCGGAUUUAUUGGGUUUAAAGGGUGCGUAGGCGGAUGAUUAAGCGUGAGGUGAAAUGCCACUGCUCAACAGUGGAACUGCCUCGCGAACUGGUUGUCUUGAAUGCUCCUGCCGUGGGAGGAAUGUGUGGUGUAGCGGUGAAAUGCAUAGAGAUCACACAGAACACCGAUUGCGAAGGCAUCUCACGAAGGGGUGAUUGACGCUGAGGCACGAAAGCGUGGGGAUCAAACAGGAUUAGAUACCCUGGUAGUCCACGCAGUAAACGAUGAUAACUAACCGCUGGGUCGUAGUGAUUCAGUGGCCAAGCGAAAGCGAUAAGUUAUCCACCUGGGGAGUACGACCGCAAGGUUGAAACUCAAAUGAAUCGGCGGGG
Molecule: ribosomal RNA, 394 nt
Filed under: uncultured bacterium
Lineage: Bacteria
Description: partial 16S ribosomal RNA
Rfam family: Bacterial small subunit ribosomal RNA
Source: RNAcentral